AUAGUUCCCUGGCAGAAGAGACACUAUGAUCACAAAGAUGGUUUUCCUAGAGGCUUACCCAUUGCAUGUGGGAUGUGGCGACCCCUGCAAUUUCCCCAGAUGUGGGAAACUCAACUGCACAAUAUAUGGUAACAGGAGACCCCAUUUGCACUCUCCCC
Pipistrellus kuhlii (Kuhl's pipistrelle) is the source of this 158-nucleotide small nuclear RNA. RefSeq annotates it as U1 spliceosomal RNA. Lineage: Eukaryota; Metazoa; Chordata; Mammalia; Chiroptera; Vespertilionidae. The transcript has a single exon. The record is from RefSeq and is a predicted model, not a curated record.